This is a non-coding RNA of Ictidomys tridecemlineatus (thirteen-lined ground squirrel), 72 nucleotides long. The record is from Rfam. Lineage: Eukaryota; Metazoa; Chordata; Mammalia; Rodentia; Sciuridae.
UGCAGCGUAGCUCAGUGACAAAGCACUUGCCUAAGAUGCACGAGGCCCUGGGUUCCAUCCCCAGCACUGCAU